GAUGAAGAACGUAGCGAAAUGCGAUAAGUAAUGCGAAUUGCAGAUCUCCGUGAGUCAUUGAAUCUUUGAACGCACAUUGCGCCCUCGGGUAUUCCCGAGGGCAUGCCUGUCCGAGCGUCAUUAUCCAACCAUCAAGCUCGGCUUGCGGUUGAGCCCCGCACCGUCCCCGGGACGGUGGGCUCGAAACAUGUUGGGCGCCCGUGAGGUUGUCGGUGCAGCGAGCUCUCGAGCACGUGCCGGGCAACCGCUCUGGGCGUCGGCCAGCCCCCCCAUUUUCUCAGGUUGACCUCGGAUCAGGUAGGAAUACUCGCUGAACUUAAGCAUAUCAAUAAGCGGAGGA
RNAcentral lists this unclassified non-coding RNA (340 nucleotides) under soil metagenome. Its description in RNAcentral is "partial contains 5.8S ribosomal RNA, internal transcribed spacer 2, and large subunit ribosomal RNA". The stretch from base 1 to 120 matches the Rfam family "5.8S ribosomal RNA", at positions 35 to 154 of the family's 154-position model. The record is from RNAcentral.